This 205-nucleotide long non-coding RNA is filed under the name Elaeis guineensis (African oil palm). Its description in RNAcentral is "long non-coding RNA (EGUI_LNC019811)". The record is from RNAcentral. Lineage: Eukaryota; Viridiplantae; Streptophyta; Magnoliopsida; Arecales; Arecaceae.
CGCACGUUUUGCUUCGACUUAUGUAGUGCAACCUCGAUGUCUGUCCUAGGUUUAACCUUCUCCCAUUGAACCUCUCGACUUCUACCCCGUGUCUCAGCCCCCUCCACCUAUGGAGGCACCUCUGGAUGGUGCUCCACCUGAAUAUUAAGCCCUUCAGUUGCACCUGCAAAAACCAAAAUAGAAUAGGAUACUAGCUGUCCACUUU